AGGACGAACGCUGGCGGCGUGCUUAACACAUGCAAGUCGAGCGGAAAGGCCCUUCGGGGUACUCGAGCGGCGAACGGGUGAGUAACACGUGAGUAAUCUGCCCCUAGCUCUGGGAUAGCUCCGGGAAACCGGGAUUAAUACCGGAUACGACCACUUUAGACAUCUGUUGUGGUGGAAAGAAUUUUGGCUAGGGAUGAGCUCGCGGCCUAUCAGCUUGUUGGUGGGGUAACGGCCCACCAAGGCGACGACGGAUA
RNAcentral lists this ribosomal RNA (254 nucleotides) under uncultured bacterium. Its description in RNAcentral is "partial small subunit ribosomal RNA". It matches the Rfam family "Bacterial small subunit ribosomal RNA", at positions 26 to 285 of the family's 1533-position model. The record is from RNAcentral.